GAUGAAGAACGUAGCAAAAUGCGAUAAGUAAUGUGAAUUGCAGAAUUCAGUGAAUCAUCGAAUCUUUGAACGCACAUUGCGCCCGCCAGUAUUCUGGCGGGCAUGCCUGUUCGAGCGUCAUUUCAACCCUCAAGCACAGCUUGGUGUUGGGACUCGCGUUAAUUCGCGUUCCCCAAAUUGAUUGGCGGUCACGUCGAGCUUCCAUAGCGUAGUAGUAAAACCCUCGUUACUGGUAAUCGUCGCGGCCACGCCGUUAAACCCCAACUUCUGAAUGUUGACCUCGGAUCAGGUAGGAAUACCCGCUGAACUUAAGCAUAUCAAUGGAGGA
This 328-nucleotide unclassified non-coding RNA is filed under the name soil metagenome. RNAcentral's name for it is "partial contains 5.8S ribosomal RNA, internal transcribed spacer 2, and large subunit ribosomal RNA". The stretch from base 1 to 120 matches the Rfam family "5.8S ribosomal RNA", at positions 35 to 154 of the family's 154-position model. The record is from RNAcentral.